CACGUAGGGUGCAAGCGUUGUCCGGAUUCAUUGGGCGUAAAGGGCUAGUAGGCGGCUUAGCAAGUCGGGUGUGAAAUUUCCAGGCUUAACCUGGAACCGCCAUCCGAUACUGCUAUGGCUAGAGUCCGGUAGGGGACCACGGAAUUCCUGGUGUAGCGGUGAAAUGCGCAGAUAUCGGGAGGAACACCUAUGGCGAAGGCAGCUCGCUGGGACGUUACUGACGCUGAGACGCGAAAGCGUGGGGAGCAAACAGG
RNAcentral lists this ribosomal RNA (254 nucleotides) under uncultured bacterium. RNAcentral's name for it is "partial 16S ribosomal RNA". It matches the Rfam family "Bacterial small subunit ribosomal RNA", at positions 524 to 776 of the family's 1533-position model. The record is from RNAcentral.